AAGUCGUAACAAGGUUUCCGUAGGUGAACCUGCGGAAGGAUCAUUAAAAGGAACGGCAAAAAGGGCUUCCCGGCCCUAUUCCUUGGCCAAAACUCUCACCGUGUACAUCGUCCACGUUGCUUCCCCCGGGGGGAUGAUCCCUCCUCUUCAUACUCCUGGGGGGAAGGUAACCAUGACAAAAACUAUGCAUGCCGCAGCACGAUUGCAGUCUGAAUUGGGUAAAACCCGCGCUUCGUGGGGAACCCGUACCUCCUUUUGCUUUCGGGGGUAGAAAAACGAAUAAGUCAAAACUUUCAACAACGGAUCUCUUGGCUCUC
This 317-nucleotide unclassified non-coding RNA is filed under the name fungal sp. Its description in RNAcentral is "partial internal transcribed spacer region". The stretch from base 1 to 46 matches the Rfam family "Eukaryotic small subunit ribosomal RNA", at positions 1786 to 1831 of the family's 1831-position model. Lineage: Eukaryota; Fungi. The record is from RNAcentral.